AUGUAUGGGUACAAGCAUGGGUACAAGUACAGGGACAUUGCCUUGUACCGUGGAAAAAUCUUCGCGCUCAUAUCAUCGGAGCAGCUCUUCACCCAUGAGAUUGAACAGCCAUGUCGCGUACAGCAUGUCAUCAAGGAACACACACCGCUGCCGCCCGGGAUCGGUCCAUCGUCGCCGAAGUUUCUUGUGAAGUACUACAUAGUCGUCUCAUCCGAUAAUAGAAAGCUAUUAAUGGUGCGGUGGAACAUCCCUCACGCGGCCUACGUUCAUCAUUCAAAGAUGAAUCUGCAGGUGUUCGAGGCAGAUUUGGAGAAGAGACAGUGGUUGGAGGUGAAUGACUUGGAUGGCCAGCUCCUCUUCCUGAGCAGGACUUGCUCAAGGGCACUCGCGGGCUCGUCGACGGAACACUACGGGCAGACAUUUCGAGGAAAUCGUGUGUUUAUCUUGGGCACUGACUGGGCACGGAUACGGAGGCGGUUGAACCCAUGCACGUGCCAUGAUUGCGAGAAGCUCGGCAAUGGUGUUCCAAGCUAUUGCGUGUAUGACAUGACGAGUGGAAAGCUUAGCCUUGUUUCGUUACGUAGAACUCGUAGAAGGAAAAAUGCAGGUUCAGAAUGGUUCUUCCCUUCUGGGUGA
This 636-nucleotide ribosomal RNA is filed under the name Triticum aestivum (bread wheat). RNAcentral's name for it is "partial small subunit ribosomal RNA". Lineage: Eukaryota; Viridiplantae; Streptophyta; Magnoliopsida; Poales; Poaceae. The record is from RNAcentral.